This 103-nucleotide signal recognition particle RNA is filed under the name Megasphaera vaginalis (ex Srinivasan et al. 2021). RNAcentral's name for it is "Megasphaera sp. BV3C16-1 Bacterial signal recognition particle RNA". It matches the Rfam family "Bacterial small signal recognition particle RNA". From Rfam's summary of the family: The signal recognition particle (SRP) is a universally conserved ribonucleoprotein involved in the co-translational targeting of proteins to membranes. Archaeal SRP consists of a 7S RNA and homologues of the eukaryotic SRP19 and SRP54 proteins. In most bacteria, the SRP consists of a 4.5S RNA and the Ffh protein (a homologue of the eukaryotic SRP54 protein). The record is from RNAcentral. Lineage: Bacteria; Bacillati; Bacillota; Negativicutes; Veillonellales; Veillonellaceae.
CUGUCGGGGCUUGUGCAAUGAAACCCUAUGAACCUCGUCAGGUCCGAGAGGAAGCAGCGAUAAGUAGACCGUUCCAUGUGCCACGAGGUAACCUGUCAGGCUA